Chelonoidis abingdonii (Abingdon island giant tortoise) is the source of this 192-nucleotide non-coding RNA. Lineage: Eukaryota; Metazoa; Chordata; Testudines; Testudinidae. The record is from RefSeq and is a predicted model, not a curated record.
GGCGGCCCCGUGCGCGGGCAGCGGGAACAUGGCGAGCGCGGGCAGCGCAGCGGAGGAGGGCGCUGGCGAGGAGGAAAACUUUGAAGAUGCCUUUGAAAGUAUCCCAGUGUUAAUUUUACCAACCAGAUGAAUGGCAUAUGACACAGACACAUCCUAAGCAUUAAUUGAAUUACGGACUAAGGUCCAGAUCCC